CGAUUCCCUUAGUAGCGGCGAGCGAAACGGGAAGAGCCCAAACCAACAAGCUUGCUUGUUGGGGUUGUAGGACACUCUAUACGGAGUUACAAAGGACGACAUUAGACGAAUCAUCUGGAAAGAUGAAUCAAAGAAGGUAAUAAUCCUGUAGUCGAAAAUGUUGUCUCUCUUGAGUGGAUCCUGAGUACGACGGAGCACGUGAAAUUCCGUCGGAAUCUGGGAGGACCAUCUCCUAAGGCUAAAUACUCUCUAGUGACCGAUAGUGAACCAGUACCGUGAGGGAAAGGUGAAAAG
Molecule: ribosomal RNA, 294 nt
Filed under: Staphylococcus aureus
Lineage: Bacteria; Bacillati; Bacillota; Bacilli; Caryophanales; Staphylococcaceae
Description: partial 23S ribosomal RNA
Rfam family: Bacterial large subunit ribosomal RNA
Source: RNAcentral